UACGUAGGGACCAAGCGUUGUUCGGAUUUACUGGGCGUAAAGGGCGCGUAGGCGGCGCGGUCAGUCACUUGUGAAAUCUCUGAGCUUAACUCAGAACGGCCAAGUGAUACUGCAGUGCUAGAGUGUGGAAGGGGCAAUCGGAAUUCUUGGUGUAGCGGUGAAAUGCGUAGAUAUCAAGAGGAACACCUGAGGUGAAGACGGGUUGCUGGGCCAACACUGACGCUGAUGCGCGAAAGCCAGGGGAGCAAACGGG
RNAcentral lists this ribosomal RNA (253 nucleotides) under uncultured bacterium. Its description in RNAcentral is "partial 16S ribosomal RNA". It matches the Rfam family "Bacterial small subunit ribosomal RNA", at positions 524 to 776 of the family's 1533-position model. The record is from RNAcentral.